This 751-nucleotide ribosomal RNA is filed under the name Dracaena sp. vn. RNAcentral describes it as "eukaryotic LSU rRNA". The stretch from base 293 to 448 matches the Rfam family "5.8S ribosomal RNA". Lineage: Eukaryota; Viridiplantae; Streptophyta; Magnoliopsida; Asparagales; Asparagaceae. The record is from RNAcentral.
AGAAGUCGUAACAAGGUUUCCGUAGGUGAACCUGCGAAAGGAUCAUUGUCGAGGCCCGAACGGACAAUCGUGAACCCGUCAAUGCUCCUAGAGGGGCGGAGGGAUAGCGGCAUUCGCCCACUUGACCCCGCCACCCGAGGCACCCAUGGCCACCCCCGUCCCGCCUCAUUGCGCGACUGGUGGUAGGAACAAUACCCGGCGCGGUGGGCACCAAGGAACAUUCACAGUCGGAGAGUGCCGCAAGCUAGUUUUGGCAUGCGGUGCGAUCCUUCCAUACAAGUCGAACUUUUAUGACUCUCGGCAACGGAUAUCUUGGCUCUUGCAUCAAUGAAAAAUGUAGCAAAAUGCGAUACUUGGUGUGAAUUGCAGAAUCCCGUGAACCAUUGAGUCUUUGAACGCAAGUUGUGCUGGAGGCUAUCCAGCCGAGGGCAUGCCUGCCUGAACGUCAUGCCUCACGUCACUCCGUGCGCCCUGAGGCACUCUUCGAGCAGGGGUGGUGGUGGGCAUUGAUGCAGAGAUUGGCCCCCUAUGCCUUGCGACAUGGCGAGCCGAAGGGCAGGUUGCCGGCCGGGAACAAAUGUGGUGAGUGGUGGACGGACACGUACGGCGUCGGGCGCUGCCUUCACCCCCAGCUGCAGCGGUACAUGCAAUGAACCAACGCCGUCGGGUGCGCUCGUACGCGCCCCUCGGAACCCGACCCCAGGUCAGGCAAGGCCUCCCGCUGAGCUUAAGCAUAUAAAUAAGCGGAGGA